Molecule: ribosomal RNA, 721 nt
Filed under: Mycobacterium sp. MOLA 1588
Lineage: Bacteria; Bacillati; Actinomycetota; Actinomycetes; Mycobacteriales; Mycobacteriaceae
Description: bacterial SSU rRNA
Rfam family: Bacterial small subunit ribosomal RNA
Source: RNAcentral
ACGAACGCUGGCGGCGUGCUUAACACAUGCAAGUCGAACGGAAAGGCCCUUCGGGGUACUCGAGUGGCGAACGGGGUGAGUAACACGUGGGUGAUCUGCCCUGCACUUUGGGAUAAGCCUGGGAAACUGGGUCUAAUACCGAAUAUACCCUUCUGGCUGCAUGGCCUGGGAGGGGAAAGCUUUUGCGGUGUGGGAUGGGCCCGCGGCCUAUCAGCUUGUUGGUGGGGUGAUGGCCUACCAAGGCGACGACGGGUAGCCGGCCUGAGAGGGUGACCGGCCACACUGGGACUGAGAUACGGCCCAGACUCCUACGGGAGGCAGCAGUGGGGAAUAUUGCACAAUGGGCGCAAGCCUGAUGCAGCGACGCCGCGUGAGGGAUGACGGCCUUCGGGUUGUAAACCUCUUUCAAUAGGGACGAAGCGCAAGUGACGGUACCUAUAGAAGAAGGACCGGCCAACUACGUGCCAGCAGCCGCGGUAAUACGUAGGGUCCGAGCGUUGUCCGGAAUUACUGGGCGUAAAGAGCUCGUAGGUGGUUUGUCGCGUUGUUCGUGAAAACUCACAGCUUAACUGUGGGCGUGCGGGCGAUACGGGCAGACUAGAGUACUGCAGGGGAGACUGGAAUUCCUGGUGUAGCGGUGGAAUGCGCAGAUAUCAGGAGGAACACCGGUGGCGAAGGCGGGUCUCUGGGCAGUAACUGACGCUGAGGAGCGAAAGCGUGG